GACGAACGCUGGCGGCGUGCUUAACACAUGCAAGUCGAACGGAAAGGCCCUGCUUUUGUGUGGUGCUCGAGUGGCGAACGGGUGAGUAACACGUGAGUAACCUGCCCUUGACUUUGGGAUAACUUCAGGAAACUGGGGCUAAUACCGGAUAGGAGCUCCUGCUGCAUGGUGGGGGUUGGAAAGUUUCGGCGGUUGGGGAUGGACUCGCGGCUUAUCAGCUUGUUGGUGGGGUAGUGGCUUACCAAGGCUUUGACGGGUAGCCGGCCUGAGAGGGUGACCGGCCACAUUGGGACUGAGAUACGGCCCAGACUCCUACGGGAGGCAGCAGGGGGGAAUAUUGCACAAUGGGCGGAAGCCUGAUGCAGCAACGCCGCGUGCGGGAUGACGGCCUUCGGGUUGUAAACCGCUUUCGCCUGUGACGAAGCGUGAGUGACGGUAAUGGGUAAAGAAGCAACGGCUAACUACGUG
This 468-nucleotide ribosomal RNA is filed under the name uncultured bacterium. Its description in RNAcentral is "partial 16S ribosomal RNA". It matches the Rfam family "Bacterial small subunit ribosomal RNA", at positions 28 to 507 of the family's 1533-position model. The record is from RNAcentral.